This 204-nucleotide ribosomal RNA is filed under the name Hypocreales sp. RNAcentral's name for it is "partial small subunit ribosomal RNA". It matches the Rfam family "Eukaryotic small subunit ribosomal RNA", at positions 1334 to 1562 of the family's 1831-position model. The record is from RNAcentral. RNAcentral also lists the same sequence under 1 other name. Lineage: Eukaryota; Fungi; Ascomycota; Sordariomycetes; Hypocreales.
AACGAGACCUUAACCUGCUAAAUAGCCCGUAUUGCUUUGGCAGUACGCUGGCUUCUUAGAGGGACUAUCGGCUCAAGCCGAUGGAAGUUUGAGGCAAUAACAGGUCUGUGAUGCCCUUAGAUGUUCUGGGCCGCACGCGCGCUACACUGACGGAGCCAGCGAGUUCUCCCUUGACCGGAAGGUCCGGGUAAUCUUGUGAAACUC